ACGGUUUUGAACAUUUUUAGAACAAGGUGUUGCUGCUGCGUCUCAUGCCAUGGAGCAAAAGCCAGAAGUUGUAAUUGUCGCACCCACUCGUGAAUUGGCCAUCCUAAUUCACCGCGAGGCGUGUAAAUUCUCCUACAGUUCGCUUUUAAAGUCUGUGAUUAUAUAUGGAUGAACUGUCACGAGCUAUCAGCGAUCAAAUCUUCAAGCUGGGUGUAAUAUUGUUGUCGCGACCGCGGUGCGAUUUAAGGAUUUUGUCGACUGUGGAGUAUUUGUCUUCUCGGGAGUCAGGUUUUUAAUUUUGGACGAAGCUGAUCUAAAUCAUUUGGGCAUUAAGCACACCUGAUUUUGAACAACACCAGAAGAAGAUGAUCAGGAAACUCAAGUAAUACCAAAAGCGCUGCUAGCAAGAGCAGAACGAUAUAUUGCUUAGAUCGAAUGAAAGAUGAUUGCUCAAGUACGCAGUGACAGGAAACGGCUCGGUUUACCUUGAGCUAUGACAAAGAUAAGAUUGUAAGAUUGGUAUACUCCGACGUACGGUACUGGCAUGAAGUGCAUAAGGAACAGUAGCGUAUGCAAAUCAACUUGAGCUACUCGCUUUAAGUUUCCGAGAUGGCAUUCCUUACUAAAUCGCCAGUAUGUUCCGGUAUCUGACAUUUUUGGACCGCCAGAUUGCUCUAAUAAAUUGGCAUCUACUAAAUAUGUUGGCGCUAUCAAAUACCAGGGCGUGUGGCGGUUUCUUAUUGAACAGCGGCUAUAGAAAUUGCUAUGCCGAGAUCAAAUUCUGUGCAAAUCGUAACCAGUUUAAACGGGGGCGCCAAAUAGUGACAUCUAGCGGGGAAAAGUGAGGUAAAUGGAACGCCAUGUAGUGGUCGGUACCACAGCUUGUAGUGAAUUAAGUCAUAUGACAUUGUGACAGAAAAACAAAAUAAGGAUUUUAAAUCACGGUAUAAACCUUUUUUCACGGUUUGCAAGGAAAUGAUUCGGAAAUGGAAAUUAUGUUGCUGUCUUAUGUUAAACAACCAUUAGGUAAGGAAAACUUAACUUGUAUUUUGUAAUUUUUUGCCAGGUUUUGCUUAGUGAACUUGCAGUUUUUCAAGAUAACUGCAAAUGGUAGUGCCAAAAUCAGAAGAAUUUUGUCUGACUUCUUUACUACGUGAACCUUAAAAGGCCUUGUUAUACCAAAGGGCGUCCAACGGAGAAAUUGGGCUAGUUUAAGGAUUCAAGUAGUUGACAUUUACAACUAAAUUGUUAAUGUUUAUAUUUGAUUGUAUUUUCCUUUAUUCAGACUCAAUGAUUCUAACAGCCUGGUUGCAAACUUUUAGCUAUUGCGUUGCAAUGAAUGUAUUUAUAAUCCAGUCUACAACACUCAGAAAAUGCCAAGUUUGUUCUCCAGUGUCGUCUAUCCCUUUACCCUGUGUGCUUUUCCGCCUCACGAUUCCAUGCCGCUUAGCACUAAACGCUCUAAAAAUAGAAUUGACGAGUUCUCUUAAAAAAAUUAUCCAUAUUUUAUGUGCGACUUUCAUUUUUGGUUGUAUAUUAAGAUAAAAGAUGGCGCUAAUGGACGUAUGUUUUUUUAUGACAAGUGAAUCAACAGUGAACUGGGAAACCGGUGUCUGAUUUGUUUGUUUUAUGUGUUACAUUCCGAAGAAAAGUAUAAUAAAAUCUAAUGGUAUGAUUCGUA
Molecule: long non-coding RNA, 1681 nt
Organism: Daphnia carinata
Lineage: Eukaryota; Metazoa; Arthropoda; Branchiopoda; Diplostraca; Daphniidae
Exons: 2
Source: RefSeq, a predicted model, not a curated record